Molecule: ribosomal RNA, 426 nt
Filed under: uncultured Actinomycetes bacterium
Lineage: Bacteria; Bacillati; Actinomycetota; Actinomycetes
Description: bacterial SSU rRNA
Rfam family: Bacterial small subunit ribosomal RNA
Source: RNAcentral
AACGCGAAGAACCUUACCUGGGUUGAACUACGCAGGAAAAGCCGUAGAGAUACGGUGUCCGAAAGGGCCUGCGAUAGGUGGUGCAUGGCUGUCGUCAGCUCGUGUCGUGAGAUGUUGGGUUAAGUCCCGCAACGAGCGCAACCCUUGUCCUAUGUUGCCAGCGGGUAAUGCCGGGGACUCGUAGGAGACUGCCGGGGUCAACUCGGAGGAAGGUGGGGAUGACGUCAAGUCAUCAUGCCCCUUACGUCCAGGGCUGCACACAUGCUACAAUGGCCGAUACAAAGGGCUGCUAUCCCGCGAGGGUGAGCGAAUCCCAAAAAGUCGGUCUCAGUUCGGAUCGCAGUCUGCAACUCGACUGCGUGAAGUCGGAGUCGCUAGUAAUCCCGGAUCAGCAACGCCGGGGUGAAUACGUUCCCGGGCCUUGUA